This is a long non-coding RNA of Scylla paramamosain (green mud crab), 644 nucleotides long. RefSeq lists it as uncharacterized. NCBI's taxonomy places the organism in Eukaryota, Metazoa, Arthropoda, Malacostraca, Decapoda, Portunidae. The transcript is spliced from 3 exons. The record is from RefSeq and is a predicted model, not a curated record.
CAUUAUCACGUGGGGUGGGUGUACGUGCUCGUCUCGCAGGAGUGUUUUUAUCGGACAUACUGUAAAGAGUGAAACAAUGCAAACAAAACAACAACAACAACAACAACAACAACAACAACAACAACAACAACAACAACAAGAGCAAGGAAGGAGAGGCCACACGCUGAGGCAAGGUACAGCGUGAACACAGGUAAUGCGGGCACCCUCAUACAUGGCGAGGGAUCAUAAAGGAGCGCAAAGAAAGAACAAGACAGGUGAUCAAUAGAAUAAUGAGGAGGAGGAGGAGGUGUUGUUGGUGGAGGAGGAGGAGGAGAAGGAGGAGGAAUACAAAAGGAAAGCCAAACAGCAACAGACCUUUUGGUCUUUGCAAUUCUGUUUUGGUAACUACUUCUAACUAGCUACAGGGAAGAGAGACAGGACAUCAUAGCAGAACGCUCCUCCCCACCCACCACUCCCUCCAGCUUGCGCUGCCAUGGAAAUAGUUGGGAAAAAGUACCAUGCAGUAUGGAAAAACUGAAAUGUAAUUUUCGUGGGAAAAGUUGAAAGGAAGUUCUAUUAUUCACCCUACGGUGAACUCUAUACGCCUAAUACAAUUUAUAAUAAAAUUGGUCUGUAUAAUAAGAGUUUAUUAGUGAAUUUAGUAA